CGUGAAUUCAUCUCCGGGGGUAGAGCACUGUUUCGGCUAGGGGGCCAUCCCGGCUUACCAACCCGAUGCAAACUGCGAAUACCGGAGAAUGUUAUCACGGGAGACACACGGCGGGUGCUAACGUCCGUCGUGAAGAGGGAAACAACCCAGACCGCCAGCUAAGGUCCCAAAGUCAUGGUUAAGUGGGAAACGAUGUGGGAAGGCCCAGACAGCCAGGAUGUUGGCUUAGAAGCAGCCAUCAUUUAAAGAAAGCGUAAUAGCUCACUGGUCGAGUCGGCCUGCGCGGAAGAUGUAACGGGGCUAAACCAUGCACCGAAGCUGCGGCAGCGACGCUGAUGCGUUGUUGGGUAGGGGAGCGUUCUGUAAGCCUGCGAAGGUGGCCUGUGAGGGUUGCUGGAGGUAUCAGAAGUGCGAAUGCUGACAUAAGUAACGAUAAAGCGGGUGAAAAGCCCGCUCGCCGGAAGACCAAGGGUUCCUGUCCAACGUUAAUCGGGGCAGGGUGAGUCGACCCCUAAGGCGAGGCCGAAAGGCGUAGUCGAUGGGAAACGGGUUAAUAUUCCCGUACUUGGUGUUACUGCGAAGGGGGGACGGAGAAGGCUAUGUUGGCCGGGCGACGGUU
RNAcentral lists this ribosomal RNA (619 nucleotides) under Salmonella enterica. RNAcentral describes it as "partial 23S ribosomal RNA". It matches the Rfam family "Bacterial large subunit ribosomal RNA", at positions 883 to 1503 of the family's 2925-position model. Lineage: Bacteria; Pseudomonadati; Pseudomonadota; Gammaproteobacteria; Enterobacterales; Enterobacteriaceae. The record is from RNAcentral. RNAcentral also lists the same sequence under 1 other name.